Molecule: ribosomal RNA, 397 nt
Filed under: uncultured bacterium
Lineage: Bacteria
Description: partial 16S ribosomal RNA
Rfam family: Bacterial small subunit ribosomal RNA
Source: RNAcentral
AUACGUAGGGGGCGAGCGUUGUCCGGAAUGAUUGGGCGUAAAGGGCGCGUAGGCGGCCCGGUAAGUCUGGAGUGAAAGUCCUGUUUUUAAGAUGGGAAUUGCUUUGGAUACUGUCGGGCUUGAGUGCAGGAGAGGUAAGUGGAAUUCCCAGUGUAGCGGUGAAAUGCGUAGAGAUUGGGAGGAACACCAGUGGCGAAGGCGACUUACUGGACUGUAACUGGCGCUGAGGCGCGAAAGUGUGGGGAGCAAACAGGAUUAGAUACCCUGGUAGUCCACGCUGUAAACGAUGAAUGCUAGGUGUAGGGGGUAUCGACCCCUCCUGUGCCGGAGUAAACGCAAUAAGCAUUCCGCCUGGGGAGUACGGCCGCAAGGUUGAAACUCAAAGGAAUUGGCGGGG